Molecule: ribosomal RNA, 383 nt
Filed under: Fusarium solani
Lineage: Eukaryota; Fungi; Ascomycota; Sordariomycetes; Hypocreales; Nectriaceae
Description: eukaryotic LSU rRNA
Rfam family: Eukaryotic large subunit ribosomal RNA
Source: RNAcentral
GACGCCAUAGAGGGUGAGAGCCCCGUCUGGUUGGACACCGAUCCUCUGUAAAGCUCCUUCGACGAGUCGAGUAGUUUGGGAAUGCUGCUCUAAAUGGGAGGUAUAUGUCUUCUAAAGCUAAAUACCGGCCAGAGACCGAUAGCGCACAAGUAGAGUGAUCGAAAGAUGAAAAGAACUUUGAAAAGAGAGUUAAAAAGUACGUGAAAUUGUUGAAAGGGAAGCGCUUGUGACCAGACUUGGGCUUGGUUGAUCAUCCGGGGUUCUCCCCGGUGCACUCUUCCGGCUCAGGCCAGCAUCAGUUCGCCCUGGGGGAUAAAGGCUUCGGGAAUGUGGCUCUCUCCGGGGAGUGUUAUAGCCCGCUGCGUAAUACCCUGUGGCGGACU